AGUGAACGCUGGCGGUAGGCCUAACACAUGCAAGUCGAACGGCAGCACAGUAAGAGCUUGCUCUUACGGGUGGCGAGUGGCGGACGGGUGAGGAAUACAUCGGAAUCUACUUUUUCGUGGGGGAUAACGUAGGGAAACUUACGCUAAUACCGCAUACGACCUACGGGUGAAAGCAGGGGAUCUUCGGACCUUGCGCGAUUGAAUGAGCCGAUGUCGGAUUAGCUAGUUGGCGGGGUAAAGGCCCACCAAGGCGACGAUCCGUAGCUGGUCUGAGAGGAUGAUCAACCACCCUUGGACUGAGACCCCGUCCAAACUCCUACGGGAGGGCGCCGUGGGGAAUAUUGGCCAAUUGGGGCAAGCCUUGACCCCGCCUACCCGGUUGGUUAAGGAGGACCUUCGGUUGUAAAGCCCUUUUGUUGGGAAAGAAAAGCAGCAGGUUAAUACCCCGCUGUUCUGACGGUACCCAAAGAAUAAGCACCGGCUAACUUCGUG
Molecule: ribosomal RNA, 492 nt
Filed under: uncultured bacterium
Lineage: Bacteria
Description: partial 16S ribosomal RNA
Rfam family: Bacterial small subunit ribosomal RNA
Source: RNAcentral